RNAcentral lists this ribosomal RNA (1385 nucleotides) under metagenome. Its description in RNAcentral is "bacterial LSU rRNA". It matches the Rfam family "Bacterial large subunit ribosomal RNA", at positions 1514 to 2925 of the family's 2925-position model. The record is from RNAcentral.
AAGCGUAUAGCAGUCAUGCAGGCAAAACCGCAUGAAAAAUGUAAAGCGUUAUGUGGAUCGAACAUUAGUAGAGAAGCGUGUGAGCCAGCUGCCAAGAAAAGCCGCUAUUGCUUCAUAAGUACCCGUACCGUAAACCGACACAGGUGGAUGAGGAGAGAAUCCUAAGGCCGGCGGGAGAAGUGUUGUUAAGGAACUCGGCAAAAUGACUCCGUAACUUCGGGAGAAGGAGUGCCACAGAGAUGUGGCCGCAGAGAAAUGGCCCAAGCAACUGUUUAGCAAAAACACAGGUCUAUGCAAAACCGAAAGGUGAGGUAUAUGGGCUGACGCCUGCCCGGUGCUGGAAGGUUAAGAGGAGAGGUUAGAGCAAUCGAAGCUUUGAAUUUAAGCCCCAGUAAACGGCGGCCGUAACAAUAACGGUCCUAAGGUAGCGAAAUUCCUUGUCGGGUAAGUUCCGACCCGCACGAAAGGCGUAAUGAUUUGGGCACUGUCUCAACAACACACCCGGUGAAAUUGAAAUACCAGUGAAGAUGCUGGUUACCUGCGCCAGGACGGAAAGACCCCAUGGAGCUUUACUCCAGUUUGAUACUGGGAUUCGGUACUGUCUGUACAGGAUAGGUGGGAGGCUAGGAAAUGGUGACGCCAGUUGCCAUGGAGCCAACCUUGGGAUACCACCCUUACAGUACUGGGUUUCUACCUGCAGCCGUAACCCGGCUGGGGGACAAUGUCUGACGGGGAGUUUGACUGGGGCGGUCGCCUCCGAAAGAGUAUCGGAGGCGCUCAAAGGUUCCCUCAGAACGGUUGGAAACCGUUCGAAGAGUGCAAAGGCAGAAGGGAGCUUGACUGCGACACCGACGGGUGGAGCAGAUACGAAAGUAGGACUUAGUGAUCCGGUGGUAUAAAGUGGGAUUGCCAUCGCUCAACGGAUAAAAGCUACCCUGGGAUAACAGGCUUAUCACUCCCAAGAGUUCACAUCGACGGAGUGGUUUGGCACCUCGAUGUCGGCUCAUCGCAUCCUGGAGCUGUAGCAGGUUCCAAGGGUUGGGCUGUUCGCCCAUUAAAGCGGUACGCGAGCUGGGUUCAGAACGUCGUGAGACAGUUCGGUCCCUAUCCGGCGUGGGCGUAGGAUAUUUGAGAGGAGCUGUCCUUAGUACGAGAGGACCGGGAUGGACGAACCUCUGGUGUAUCUGUUGUUUUACCAAAGGCAUGGCAGAGUAGCCAAGUUUGGCAGGGAUAAACGCUGAAGGCAUCUAAGCGUGAAGCCCCCCUCAAGAUAAGAUAUCCCAUCUUCGGAGUAAGACCCCUUGAAGACUACAAGGUUGAUAGGCUUUGUGUGUAAGUGCGGUAACGCACUCAGCUGAGAAGUACUAAUAGGUCGAGGACUUAGC